This 78-nucleotide transfer RNA is filed under the name Bacteroidota bacterium. Its description in RNAcentral is "Bacteroidetes bacterium (freshwater metagenome) tRNA-Met". It matches the Rfam family "tRNA". Rfam says of the family: Transfer RNA (tRNA) molecules are approximately 80 nucleotides in length. Their secondary structure includes four short double-helical elements and three loops (D, anti-codon, and T loops). Further hydrogen bonds mediate the characteristic L-shaped molecular structure. tRNAs have two regions of fundamental functional importance: the anti-codon, which is responsible for specific mRNA codon recognition, and the 3' end, to which the tRNAs corresponding amino acid is attached (by aminoacyl-tRNA synthetases). tRNAs cope with the degeneracy of the genetic code in two manners: having more than one tRNA (with a specific anti-codon) for a particular amino acid; and 'wobble' base-pairing, i.e. permitting non-standard base-pairing at the 3rd anti-codon position. The record is from RNAcentral. Lineage: Bacteria; Pseudomonadati; Bacteroidota. RNAcentral also lists the same sequence under 2 other names.
GGGCCCUUAGCUCAGCUGGUUAGUAGCACCUGACUCAUAAUCAGGGGGUCGCUGGUUCGAACCCAGCAGGGCCCACCA